RNAcentral lists this ribosomal RNA (253 nucleotides) under uncultured bacterium. Its description in RNAcentral is "partial 16S ribosomal RNA". It matches the Rfam family "Bacterial small subunit ribosomal RNA", at positions 524 to 776 of the family's 1533-position model. The record is from RNAcentral.
UACGUAGGGGGCAAGCGUUAUCCGGAAUUACUGGGUGUAAAGGGUGAGUAGGCGGCAUGGUAAGCCAGAUGUGAAAGCCUUGGGCUUAACCCGAGGAUUGCAUUUGGAACUAUCAAGCUAGAGUACAGGAGAGGAAAGCGGAAUUCCCAGUGUAGCGGUGAAAUGCGUAGAUAUUAGGAGGAACACCAGUGGCGAAGGCGGCUUUCUGGACGAAAACUGACGCUGAGGUACGAAAGCGUGGGGAGCAAACAGG